UAAAUACUACAUCAAAUCAUGAGAAAAAUAAAAUUUAUUUGAACAGACACCAUAUAUGAUAAAGAGUCAAUAAAUACCACCUGAAGUUGUAAAAAAUGUAAAUUCUUCAAUCCUUUAUAAAUCAAGUUCAUAUAAUGAUAGAGCAUGGUCACUUGACAUGUUUGACAUAGAAAGUUUUUGUAGGUUUUGAGAGAAAGUUAAUUCUGAAUUAACGCAUUACCACCAAGAUAUCUAUUUUACGUUUAAAAAAAAAUCAAAAUCAAAUCCUUUAAUUUCUACCAUCCUGAUAUGUCAUGAAUCCUGUCAGAUCAGGAACAAAUAAAGGAUUGAAUUUUAACAAUAUUGUAAAAAAUGGCAAACUAUUUUGUACAUACAUACCCUUAAUACAUGGACAUUAGAUGAAUUAUCAUUUACCUAUUUAUGCCUUUUAACUGUAAACAAACAAAUGCUGACACACAAAUAAAGUAAAAUAUUACAUAGUACAAAAUUGGCAGUGUAAUGGAAAAGUUUGAAUAUUCUAUAAUACGUAAAACCUUAAAGGUAUUGAAAAAAUCACCAAAGUGUAUUUAUAAAAGUUGAAAAAUGUUAUACCUGAAAUGUUCAACAAUAGACAUAACAAUAAAAAGUGCUGUACAAAAUUUGUUUCUUACCAUGAAGGGUUUUCUUUAACGACAAUAUAAAAAAAUAUUCCAAGGACAUUCUUAAAAACCUAUAAGUAGAGAAACAUCAUAUCAAAAAUAAACAAGUUCACAAACGCUAUUAAUGAAAGAGUAAUAAAGACACCUAAAAUAAGGGAUAAUCUCAGGUGAUCAGGUAAACAGAUCCUGCUCCAGUAGGAAUACCUGUACAAAGGUGAGAGGAGUAUUAUCAGGUGAUGUCACAACCAAGGAACAGGACUGUGGUUAUGACAAUUUAAGCAUAUCCAUGGCACAAAUAUUCCAUAACGGUCCAACAACUAAUGGCAUUCCUAUAACUUUCAAAGGGAUGGCUUCAUUAUUCCCACUUUGAACACUGGUUUAGUGGCUUUCCUUGUAAGCAGCAACCCUCUAUUAAACAUGCAAACUCUGGAAUAUUGUAUCAACUGGGAGAUAUAUACUCCAUAUGCAUGAGCUGCCGAAAUGUUGUUACUACAAAAUAUGUCGUGCUACAAAAAAGAUCCUAAAAAAACCUAGACAGUUGAAAUAUUCCCAUGUCAUCCUUAACUCAAAAUCCUAACCCUAAGAUAUCCAUAAAUUCUUAAACCUUAUCUGAACACUCAAGUCAUAGUGCAUCUAAAAGUAUAAGGAGAAAAUUAAAAAUUGUACCUGAGCUCAUCAAUAAAUAAUUGCAAUUAAAGCAUUGAAUAAAUUGUACAGAUCAGCAUAAACCAUAACAAUGGCAUAUCACAACACAGUUUAUAAAACAAGAAUGUGUCCAUAGUACACG
Molecule: long non-coding RNA, 1425 nt
Filed under: Mytilus galloprovincialis (Mediterranean mussel)
Lineage: Eukaryota; Metazoa; Mollusca; Bivalvia; Mytilida; Mytilidae
Source: RNAcentral